Small nucleolar RNA from Labrus mixtus (cuckoo wrasse), 221 nucleotides. RefSeq annotates it as small nucleolar RNA U3. NCBI's taxonomy places the organism in Eukaryota, Metazoa, Chordata, Actinopteri, Labriformes, Labridae. The record is from RefSeq and is a predicted model, not a curated record. The transcript has a single exon.
AAGACUAUACACUUUCAGGGAUCAUUUCUUUAGUUUGUGUCUUGAUGAAAUGGUGUUUCCACGGUGUUCGGUCUCGCUAACCACGGUGAUGAGUCGUGAUACUCUCUUCUGAGCGUGACGCGGACACAGAAUAACGAUUCAGUUCAUAUGAUCUCUGUCACUGAUGACCGUUAAUUGCCUCCUUUGUGGAGCUUUGAGGAAGAGAAUAAGAUCAGAGCGGG